UUUAGUUGUGUGUAUCUGCUGUAAAUAUGGACGGAGAAUCAUCAGUAGGCUUUAGGUGGGCACCUAAGAGUUAUCAGACUGCCCAUAAAGAACCCUACUAACACUG
Molecule: non-coding RNA, 106 nt
Organism: Nicotiana attenuata
Lineage: Eukaryota; Viridiplantae; Streptophyta; Magnoliopsida; Solanales; Solanaceae
Source: Rfam